GAUGAAGAACGCAGCGAAAUGCGAUAAGUAAUGUGAAUUGCAGAAUUCAGUGAAUCAUCGAAUCUUUGAACGCACAUUGCGCCCGCCAGUAUUCUGGCGGGCAUGCCUGUUCGAGCGUCAUUACAACCCUCAGGCCCCCGGGCCUGGCGUUGGGGAUCGGCAGAAGCCCCCUGUGGGCACACGCCGUCCCUCAAAUACAGUGGCGGUCCCGCCGCAGCUUCCAUUGCGUAGUAGCUAACACCUCGCAACUGGAGAGCGGCGCGGCCAUGCCGUAAAACACCCAACUUCUGAAUGUUGACCUCGAAUCAGGUAGGAAUACCCGCUGAACUUAAGCAUAUCAAAAGCGGAGGA
RNAcentral lists this unclassified non-coding RNA (351 nucleotides) under soil metagenome. Its description in RNAcentral is "partial contains 5.8S ribosomal RNA, internal transcribed spacer 2, and large subunit ribosomal RNA". The stretch from base 1 to 120 matches the Rfam family "5.8S ribosomal RNA", at positions 35 to 154 of the family's 154-position model. The record is from RNAcentral.